Molecule: non-coding RNA, 27 nt
Filed under: Rattus norvegicus (Norway rat)
Lineage: Eukaryota; Metazoa; Chordata; Mammalia; Rodentia; Muridae
Source: RNAcentral
GAGUGGAUGAACAUACCAUUGGUGAUC